CAGCCGCCACAGUAAUACAGAGGGUGCAAGCGUUAAUCGGAUUUACUGGGCGUAAAGGGCGCGUAGGUGGUUAUGUAAGUGAGAUGUGAAAUCCCCGGGCUCAACCUGGGAACUGCAUCUUAUACUGCGUAGCUGGAGUGCAGUAGAGGGUAGUGGAAUUUCCGGUGUAGCGGUGAAAUGCGUAGAUAUCGGAAGGAACACCAGUGGCGAAGGCGGCUACCUGGACUGACACUGACACUGAGGCGCGAAAGCGUGGGGAGCAAACAGGAUUAGAUACCCGCGUAGUCCCUGUCUCUUAUAC
Molecule: ribosomal RNA, 301 nt
Filed under: uncultured bacterium
Lineage: Bacteria
Description: partial 16S ribosomal RNA
Rfam family: Bacterial small subunit ribosomal RNA
Source: RNAcentral